RNAcentral lists this ribosomal RNA (254 nucleotides) under uncultured bacterium. RNAcentral's name for it is "partial 16S ribosomal RNA". It matches the Rfam family "Bacterial small subunit ribosomal RNA", at positions 524 to 776 of the family's 1533-position model. The record is from RNAcentral.
UACGUAGGGGGCAAGCGUUGUCCGGAUUCAUUGGGCGUAAAGAGCUUGUAGGCGGUUCGGCAAGUCGGGUGUGAAAACUCCAGGCUCAACCUGGAGACGCCACCCGAUACUGCUGUGACUUGAGUCCGGUAGGGGACCACGGAAUUCCUGGUGUAGCGGUGAAAUGCGUUGAUAUCGGAAGGAACGCCGGUGGCGAAAGCGCACUACUGGUCCUCUUCUGACGCUGAGGCGCGAAAGCCAGGGGAGCAAACGGG